CCUACGGGAGGCAGCAGUGGGGAAUAUUGGUCAAUGGGCGAAAGCCUGAACCAGCCAAGUAGCGUGAGGGAAGAAUGCCCUACGGGUUGUAAACCUCUUUUGUAGGGGAGUAAAGGAAGGCACGUGUGCCUGUUUGCACGUAUUUCAUGAAUAAGGAACGGCUAACUCCGUGCCAGCAGCCGCGGUAAUACGGAGGGUCAGAGGGUUAUCCGGAUUUAUUGGGGUUAAAGGGAGGGUAGGUGGGUCUUUAAGUUUAUUGUGAAAGCUUAGGGCUUAACCGUAAAACUGCGAUUGAAACUGGGAGCCUUGAGUGCAGGUGAGGUAGGCGGAAUUCGUGGUGUAGCGGUGAAAUGCUUAGAUAUCACGAAGAACCCCGAUUGCGAAGGCAGCCUACUGGACUGUAACUGACGCUGAGGCUCGAAAGUGUGGGUAUCAAACAGGAUUAGAUACCCCAGUAGUC
RNAcentral lists this ribosomal RNA (460 nucleotides) under uncultured bacterium. RNAcentral's name for it is "partial 16S ribosomal RNA". It matches the Rfam family "Bacterial small subunit ribosomal RNA", at positions 338 to 795 of the family's 1533-position model. The record is from RNAcentral.